Molecule: transfer RNA, 71 nt
Rfam family: tRNA
About the family: Transfer RNA (tRNA) molecules are approximately 80 nucleotides in length. Their secondary structure includes four short double-helical elements and three loops (D, anti-codon, and T loops).
GCCCGCGCGGUGUGAUGGUCGCAUAGAAGCCUGUGGAGCUUUUGGACCGGGUUCGAUUCCCGGCGUGGGCA